RNAcentral lists this ribosomal RNA (425 nucleotides) under uncultured bacterium. RNAcentral's name for it is "partial 16S ribosomal RNA". It matches the Rfam family "Bacterial small subunit ribosomal RNA", at positions 354 to 796 of the family's 1533-position model. The record is from RNAcentral.
GUGGGGAAUCUUGCGCAAUGGGCGAAAGCCUGACGCAGCCAUGCCGCGUGAAUGAUGAAGGUCUUAGGAUUGUAAAAUUCUUUCACCGGGGACGAUAAUGACGGUACCCGGAGAAGAAGCCCCGGCUAACUUCGUGCCAGCAGCCGCGGUAAUACGAAGGGGGCUAGCGUUGCUCGGAAUUACGGGGCGUAAAGGGCGCGAAGGCGGACAGUUUAGUCAGAGGUGAAAGCCCAGGGCUCAACCUUGGAAUUGCCUUUGAUACUGGGUGUCUUGAGUACGGGGGAGGUGAGUGAAACUCCGAGUGUAGAGGUGACAUUCGUAGAUAUUCGGAAGAACACCAGUGGCGAAGGCGACUCACUGGCCCGUUACUGACGCUGAGGCGCGAAAGCGUGGGGAGCAAACAGGAUUAGAAACCCGGGUAGUCC